Molecule: ribosomal RNA, 216 nt
Filed under: Glomeromycotina sp.
Lineage: Eukaryota; Fungi; Glomeromycota
Description: partial small subunit ribosomal RNA
Rfam family: Eukaryotic small subunit ribosomal RNA (bases 40-216)
Source: RNAcentral
GAGUCAGUAGGUUGGUCGUGCCACCGGUACGUACUGGUCUCACUGAUUCCUCCUUCCUGAAGAACCGUAAUGCCAUUAAUUUGGUGUUGCGGGGAAACAGGACUGUUACUUUGAAAAAAUUAGAGUGUUUAAAGCAAGCUAACGCUUGAAUACAUUAGCAUGGAAUAAUGAAAUAGGACGAUCGAUCCUAUUUUGUCGGUUUCUAGGAUUGACGUA